Molecule: ribosomal RNA, 497 nt
Filed under: uncultured bacterium
Lineage: Bacteria
Description: bacterial SSU rRNA
Rfam family: Bacterial small subunit ribosomal RNA
Source: RNAcentral
AGAGUUUGAUCAUGGCUCAGAGCGAACGCUGGCGGCAGGCCUAACACAUGCAAGUCGAGCGCCGUAGCAAUACGGAGCGGCAGACAGGAGAGUAACACGUGGGAACGUGCCCUUUGGUUCGGAAUAACUCAGGGAAACUUGAGCUAAUACCGGAUAAGCCCUUCGGGGGAAAGAUUUAUUGCCAUUGGAGCGGCCCGCGUCGGGUUAGCUAGUUGGUGAGGUAAUGGCUCACCAAGGCGACGAUCCGUAGCUGGUCUGAGAGGAUGACCAGCCUCACUGGGACUGAGACACGGCCCAGACUCCUACGGGAGGCAGCAGUGGGGAAUAUUGGACAAUGGGCGCAAGCCUGAUCCAGCCAUGCCGCGUGGAUGAUGAAGGCCCUAGGGUUGUAAAGCACUUUUAGUGGGGAUGAAAAGUGCAGAGCUAACACCUCUGCAUCUUGACCUAACCCACAGAAAAAGCACCGGCUAACUCUGUGCCAGCCGCCGCGGUAAUAC